Salvelinus namaycush (lake trout) is the source of this 2094-nucleotide long non-coding RNA. RefSeq lists it as uncharacterized. The record is from RefSeq and is a predicted model, not a curated record. Lineage: Eukaryota; Metazoa; Chordata; Actinopteri; Salmoniformes; Salmonidae. The transcript is spliced from 4 exons.
UGCUUCUUCCGCUAUACGCCAUGGACAGAGAGGGCAGCCUGUUGUGUGUUUUUAUUAGUAAACGUUAAAGAUCAAACGGUAUCAUCAUGUCCAGGGUGCCGAUGGGCAAGGUGCUGCUGCGAAAUGUUAUUCGUCACACAGAUGCCCACAACAAGGAGUCACAUGCACUGUGAUCGUGUGGAGGAUGGGUCUGUAGACAGACUGGGAGAAGAGAACACGUUUCCAGCCAGGACAAGAGGGAGGCACGCUACUGGACCAAGAGACUCUAUGACUUUGAGGCCAAUGAUCCAGACAGGUAGAGAGACCGUGGUGAUGAUCAGAAUGGGCAUUGGAGAAAGUAAAAGUCCAGACUUAAAACAGCCAAAUCAAAACAUCUGAAGAAGUCCUCCAAGAAGAAGAAAGAGGAAAAGCGAAGGACAGGUGAGUCAGACGGAGUCCAGCAAUGACACGAGCGACAAUGUCAAACAGGAACAGAAGAGGAAAAGCAGCAAGAGCAAACAUAAGAGGAAAAAGAGGGAGAGAGAGGAGAGCAGCUCAGAGGAGGAUGAUGAUGAUGAUGAGAAGGAGGAAAUUAUAGAUGGACUCCCACAGAGACUCAGGACCAGAGUCACACAAGAAGAGGAGGAAAAACUGGAAAGCAGGAGAGGACAAAUCGGAGGACAGUUCCUAGGAUUGAACCUUUUUCCAUUGGCAGCCAGUAACCUGUACCCUCAUACUGCUCAACCCCCUUUCAGUUGCUGAAAGUGAGUGGGCAAAGCUUUCACAGUUACACCCCACUUCCACUUUAGUGCCCAUUGUUUCCCACUAGAUUUGUUGUGAACACAGCAUCACCAUAGCUAAUUGCUAGACAUGUUUGUGAUUUAUCCAAUAACAAGACAACUGAGGAAUUGGCUAAAGUACAAAUACAACUUUUGAACAGACCUACUGGCAGGGGAAAGCAUAUCGUUCUUCCCUUAACUUGCCUCUGCAAUACUCUUCUGUUCUGUACUUCUCUUUCUGUGUACAGCUGAGCACAAACCUGUGUUCUCCCCUAAGGGCUUUCAGCAGUACCUCACCUUCUGUUACUGGCAGUGCUCAAGCUGCAGUGCUCAAGCUGCAGUGCUCAGAUAGUGAGCUGACACUGCACAAAUAUGGACUAAACGAAAGCCACCUAAUCCCACCUCAUGACAAGCUGAUUGACUGCAGAGCCUUGUCUCAUAGUUAGUGUCCUGGCUCGACUUUAGCUGUUAUACUAUGGAAAAUUAUGACAUUUUAUGCAGAUUUCCCAACCAAUUGUGACAAUCUUUUCUGCAUUUUUUAAUUCAGUAUUUAUUUAUUUUUUAAAUUGUGAUUUAUGGGAGUCGGCAUUUAACGGAAUGUCAGGUGGGACAUUGAAAAAUAAAAUGCAUAUUUAGUUGUUUUCUGAAAAUGUACUCUGGUUAUCACACCAUACUUUUGGACAGGAAGGACAUAUCACAUGGAUCUCAUGUUAUGACUACAGGAUAUCUACAUGACUAUCAUUCACUAGUCUUCUCUGUAGGCCUAUAGCCUUUCUAUUUCAUGAGCAUGAAUUUUACUCUUCAUGCAUCCAAUUUUAUGAAAUAUUGCUUCCAUUUGCCCCUUGGGUUGAAUACAUCCAGAACUGGGUACCAUUAACCAUAUAACGUUGUAUAAAUGGUGUACGGUUUCCCUCUAGUGUUAAGUUUCUACAGUACUCGCUGUAGAUUUAAUGUACAUGAAAAUGGAAUAGGUCAGCACUGAAUGAGAAUCUCUACAUUACUAUAUAAACGACUUUUAAGAGACCUGCUGAAAAAGGUGCUAUCGUCUAAAACAGGUUUGAGCUUCAUAGUUUUAUUCUUACGUAGAGAGCAGGCCACUGCUAUAUGGUAUCUUUUCAAGUUCAUGCCUUUCUCCUUAAUGAUCAUCACACUGUACAAGGUUAAUUUAUUAUUUAGUGGAAGGGCGAGGAGGCCUACAGGGUCUAAUAUCCUGUUAUCUAUGGUGCGUUGUCUCCACCUGGUGGCUCAACAGUGUAUAACACCCUGAGGAUUGAUUGACUCAUGGCUGCUUUUGACUUCAUCAGAAUAAAUAAUUUAUUUGUGACAUAUAAAGCAA